RNAcentral lists this ribosomal RNA (454 nucleotides) under uncultured bacterium. Its description in RNAcentral is "bacterial SSU rRNA". It matches the Rfam family "Bacterial small subunit ribosomal RNA", at positions 453 to 906 of the family's 1533-position model. The record is from RNAcentral.
UCCGUACGUGUACGGGGUUGACGGUACCGUACGAAUAAGGAUCGGCUAACUCCGUGCCAGCAGCCGCGGUAAUACGGAGGAUCCGAGCGUUAUCCGGAUUUAUUGGGUUUAAAGGGUGCGUAGGCGGCGUUGUAAGUCAGUGGUGAAAGUUUGCAGCUUAACUGUAAAAUUGCCAUUGAUACUGGAGUGCUUGAGUAUAGUUGAGGUGGGCGGAAUGUGUCAUGUAGCGGUGAAAUGCAUAGAUAUGACACAGAACACCGAUUGCGAAGGCAGCUCACUAAACUAUAACUGACGCUGAUGCACGAAAGCGUGGGGAUCAAACAGGAUUAGAUACCCUGGUAGUCCACGCCGUAAACGAUGAUAACUCGAUGUUGGCGAUACACAGUUAGCGGCUAACGAAAAGCGUUAAGUUAUCCCCCUGGGGGAGUACGCCCGCAAGGUUGAAACUUCAAAG